This 300-nucleotide unclassified non-coding RNA is filed under the name Hevea brasiliensis (rubber tree). Lineage: Eukaryota; Viridiplantae; Streptophyta; Magnoliopsida; Malpighiales; Euphorbiaceae. The record is from RNAcentral.
UGGGUCCAUAGUUUUGGUCUGCUCUGGUUUUUCCUCUAUCGGCAAUUCUGGAGGGCAAGGGGGUAGCACAUCUGCAGUAUCUGACUCGCCAUCUUCUUCAUCUGCUGUUCCAAUCCCAGGUAUCGGGUUUACAGAUGCAGAGUAUGUAAAAUGGUAACUUUCAACCGUGAAGUAACUCGAGCAGUAAUCAUACACAGAUUUACCAAUAGAGUUGAACACAGCCACAGCGUGGCAGCAAGGCAGACCACUUUGUUUCCACUCAAAGCACGUGCACUCACGGUUUUCAAUAUUCACAACGUG